AUUGAACGCUGGCGGCACGCCUAACACAUGCAAGUCGAGCGGCAGCAUGCUUAGUAGCAGUACUAAGUGAUGGCGAGCGGCGGACGGGUGAGGAACACGUAGGAACCUGCCCAAGAGAGGGGGACAACCAAUGGAAACGUUGGCUAAUACCGCAUAAUCUCUUAGGAGAAAAGUUGCCCGUAAGGGUAGCGCUUUUGGAGGGGCCUGCGUCCGAUUAGCUAGUUGGUGAGGUAAUGGCUCACCAAGGCUGUGAUCGGUAACUGGUCUGAGAGGACGACCAGUCACACUGGGACUGAGACACGGCCCAGACUCCUACGGGAGGCAGCAGUGGGGAAUCUUGGACAAUGGGGGCAACCCUGAUCCAGCGAUGCCGCGUGGGUGAAGAAGGCCUUCGGGUUGUAAAGCCCUUUAGGCUGGGACGAAGGGUAUGGGACGAAUAAUCCUGUACUUUGACGGUACCAGCAGAAUAAGCACCGGCAAACUCUGUGCCAGCAGCCGCAGUAA
RNAcentral lists this ribosomal RNA (504 nucleotides) under uncultured bacterium. RNAcentral's name for it is "partial 16S ribosomal RNA". It matches the Rfam family "Bacterial small subunit ribosomal RNA", at positions 30 to 523 of the family's 1533-position model. The record is from RNAcentral.